Molecule: ribosomal RNA, 2889 nt
Filed under: Aeromonas hydrophila
Lineage: Bacteria; Pseudomonadati; Pseudomonadota; Gammaproteobacteria; Aeromonadales; Aeromonadaceae
Description: 23S ribosomal RNA
Rfam family: Bacterial large subunit ribosomal RNA
Source: RNAcentral
GGUUAAGUGACUAAGCGUACAUGGUGGAUGCCUUGGCAGUCAGAGGCGAUGAAGGACGUACUAACCUGCGAUAAGCCGUGAGCAGUCGGUAAGAGACAUUACGACUCACGGAUUUCCGAAUGGGGAAACCCACUUAGCAUAAGCUAGGUAUCGCUGCGUGAAUACAUAGCGUAGCGAGGCGAACCGGGAGAACUGAAACAUCUAAGUACCCCGAGGAAAAGAAAUCAACCGAGAUUCCCUCAGUAGCGGCGAGCGAACGGGGAUUAGCCCUUAAGCAUCUUGGAAGUUAGUGGAACGGUCCUGGAAAGGCCGGCGAUACAGGGUGAUAGCCCCGUACACGAAAACAACCUUGAUGUGAAAUCGAGUAGGGCGGGACACGUGACAUCCUGUCUGAAUAUGGGGGGACCAUCCUCCAAGGCUAAAUACUCCUGACUGACCGAUAGUGAACCAGUACCGUGAGGGAAAGGCGAAAAGAACCCCUGUGAGGGGAGUGAAAUAGAACCUGAAACCGUGUACGUACAAGCAGUGGGAGCCCUUCGGGGUGACUGCGUACCUUUUGUAUAAUGGGUCAGCGACUUACAUUUUGUAGCGAGGUUAACCGUAUAGGGGAGCCGUAGGGAAACCGAGUCUUAACUGGGCGUCUAGUUGCAAGGUGUAGACCCGAAACCGGGUGAUCUAGCCAUGGGCAGGUUGAAGGUUGAGUAACAUCAACUGGAGGACCGAACCCACUAACGUUGCAAAGUUAGGGGAUGACCUGUGGCUGGGGGUGAAAGGCCAAUCAAACUCGGAGAUAGCUGGUUCUCCCCGAAAGCUAUUUAGGUAGCGCCUCGGACGAAUACUACUGGGGGUAGAGCACUGUUUGGGCUAGGGGGUCAUCCCGACUUACCAACCCCAUGCAAACUCCGAAUACCAGUAAGUAAUAUCCGGGAGACACACGGCGGGUGCUAACGUCCGUCGUGAAGAGGGAAACAACCCAGACCGCCGGCUAAGGUCCCAAAGUUCUGGUUAAGUGGGAAACGAUGUGGGAAGGCUCAGACAGCUAGGAUGUUGGCUUAGAAGCAGCCAUCAUUUAAAGAAAGCGUAAUAGCUCACUAGUCGAGUCGGCCUGCGCGGAAGAUGUAACGGGGCUCAAACCAGGCACCGAAGCCGCGGAUUCACACUAAGUGUGAGUGGUAGGGGAGCGUUCUGUAAGUCUGCGAAGGUGUGUCGAGAGGCAUGCUGGAGAUAUCAGAAGUGCGAAUGCUGACGUAAGUAACGAUAAAGGGGGUGAAAAGCCUCCUCGCCGGAAGACCAAGGGUUCCUGUCCAACGUUAAUCGGGGCAGGGUGAGUCGACCCCUAAGGCGAGGCCGAAAGGCGUAGUCGAUGGGAAGCAGGUUAAUAUUCCUGCACGACUUGUAAUUGCGAUGGGGGGACGGAGAAGGCUAGGUGGGCCAGGCGACGGUUGUCCUGGUGAAAGUGCGUAGGUGGUGUUUCUAGGCAAAUCCGGAGACACAACACUGAGACACGAGACGAACACACUACGGUGUGGAAGCCAUUGAUGCCCUGCUUCCAGGAAAAGCCUCUAAGCUUCAGAUUACAAGUCAUCGUACCCCAAACCGACACAGGUGGUCGGGUAGAGAAUACCAAGGCGCUUGAGAGAACUCGGGUGAAGGAACUAGGCAAAAUAGAACCGUAACUUCGGGAGAAGGUUCGCUCUUGACAGUGAAGUCCCUUGCGGAUGGAGCAGUUGGGAGUCGCAGUGACCAGAUGGCUGGGACUGUUUAUCAAAAACACAGCACUCUGCAAACACGAAAGUGGACGUAUAGGGUGUGACACCUGCCCGGUGCCGGAAGGUUAAUUGAUGGGGUUAGCGCAAGCGAAGCUCUUGAUCGAAGCCCCGGUAAACGGCGGCCGUAACUAUAACGGUCCUAAGGUAGCGAAAUUCCUUGUCGGGUAAGUUCCGACCUGCACGAAUGGUGUAACCAUGGCCAUGCUGUCUCCACCCGAGACUCAGUGAAAUCGAAUUCGCCGUGAAGAUGCGGUGUACCCGCGGCUAGACGGAAAGACCCCGUGAACCUUUACUACAGCUUGGCACUGAACAUUGAACCUACAUGUGUAGGAUAGGUGGGAGGCUUUGAAGGCGUGACGCCAGUUGCGCUGGAGCCGUCCUUGAAAUACCACCCUUGUAUGUUUGAUGUUCUAACGCAGGCCCGUGAAUCCGGGUCGCGGACAGUGCCUGGUGGGUAGUUUGACUGGGGCGGUCUCCUCCCAAAGAGUAACGGAGGAGCACGAAGGUUGGCUAAUCCUGGUCGGACAUCAGGAGGUUAGUGCAAUGGCAUAAGCCAGCUUAACUGCGAGACGGACAGGUCGAGCAGGUACGAAAGUAGGUCAUAGUGAUCCGGUGGUUCUGAAUGGAAGGGCCAUCGCUCAACGGAUAAAAGGUACUCCGGGGAUAACAGGCUGAUACCGCCCAAGAGUUCAUAUCGACGGCGGUGUUUGGCACCUCGAUGUCGGCUCAUCACAUCCUGGGGCUGAAGUCGGUCCCAAGGGUAUGGCUGUUCGCCAUUUAAAGUGGUACGCGAGCUGGGUUCAGAACGUCGUGAGACAGUUCGGUCCCUAUCUGCCGUGGGCGUUGGAUGAUUGAAGGGAGUUGCUCCUAGUACGAGAGGACCGGAGUGAACGAACCUCUGGUGUUCGGGUUGUCACGCCAGUGGCACUGCCCGGUAGCUAAGUUCGGAAUCGAUAACCGCUGAAAGCAUCUAAGCGGGAAGCGAGCCCUGAGAUGAGUCAUCCCUGACCCCUUGAGGGUCCUAAAGGGCCGUUGGAGACCACAACGUUGAUAGGUGGGGUGUGUAAGCGCGGCGACGUGUUGAGCUAACCCAUACUAAUUACCCGUGAGGCUUAACCAU